Molecule: ribosomal RNA, 492 nt
Filed under: uncultured bacterium
Lineage: Bacteria
Description: partial 16S ribosomal RNA
Rfam family: Bacterial small subunit ribosomal RNA
Source: RNAcentral
AGUGAACGCUGGCGGUAGGCCUAACACAUGCAAGUCGAACGGCAGCACAGUAAGAGCUUGCUCUUACGGGUGGCGAGUGGCGGACGGGUGAGGAAUACAUCGGAAUCUACUUUUUCGUGGGGGAUAACGUAGGGAAACUUACGCUAAUACCGCAUACGACCUACGGGUGAAAGCAGGGGAUCUUCGGACCUUGCGCGAUUGAAUGAGCCGAUGUCGGAUUAGCUAGUUGGCGGGGUAAAGGCCCACCAAGGCGACGAUCCGUAGCUGGUCUGAGAGGAUGAUCAGCCACACUGGAACGGAGACACGGCCCAGACUCCUACGGGAGGCAGCAGUGGGGAAUAUUGGACAAUGGGCGCAAGCCUGAUCCAGCCAUACCGCGUGGGUGAAGAAGGCCUUCGGGUUGUAAAGCCCUUUUGUUGGGAAAGAAAAGCAGCAGGUUAAUACCCCGCUGUUCUGACGGUACCCAAAGAAUAAGCACCGGCUAACUUCGUG